CCUACGGGAGGCAGCAGUGAGGAAUAUUGGUCAAUGGGCGGAAGCCUGAACCAGCCAAGUAGCGUGCAGGAUGACGGCCCUAUGGGUUGUAAACUGCUUUUAUACGGGAAUAAAGUGCCUCACGUGUAGUGCUUUGUAUGUACCGCAUGAAUAAGGACCGGCUAAUUCCGUGCCAGCAGCCGCGGUAAUACGGAAGGUCCGGGCGUUAUCCGGAUUUAUUGGGUUUAAAGGGAGCGUAGGCCGCAUGUUAAGCGUGCCGUGAAAUGCCGGGGCUCAACCAGGGCCCUGCGGCGCGAACUGGCGUGCUGGAGUGCGCGGAACGCAGGCGGAAUUCGUGGUGUAGCGGUGAAAUGCUUAGAUAUGACGAAGAACCCCGAUUGCGAAGGCAGCAUACUGCAGCGGAACUGACGCUGAUGCUCGAAGGCGCGGGUAUCGAACAGGAUUAGAUACCCGAGUAGUC
Molecule: ribosomal RNA, 460 nt
Filed under: uncultured bacterium
Lineage: Bacteria
Description: partial 16S ribosomal RNA
Rfam family: Bacterial small subunit ribosomal RNA
Source: RNAcentral